RNAcentral lists this long non-coding RNA (340 nucleotides) under Fukomys damarensis (Damara mole-rat). RNAcentral describes it as "lncRNA (ENSFDAG00000023293.1)". Lineage: Eukaryota; Metazoa; Chordata; Mammalia; Rodentia; Bathyergidae. The record is from RNAcentral.
UGAUAUUAUAUUUAUUUUGCAUUAGGAUAUGUAUGAUAAAGAAAAAUUUUAACUAUUUUUGACUGUUGAUAAAUUUAUUGUUUUUAUUUUUAUUUUGAAGCUGCCUGAAAAAACUAUAAUGGACUACUAUGAGAAGUAUAAGCCUAGAAUGAAUGAGCUGGAAGCUUUUAAUAUGUUAAAAGUCGUUUUGGCUCCUUGUAUAGAGACAUUGAUUCUUCUGGAUCGACUUUGCUACCUGAAAGAGCAGGAAGAUAUUGCAUGGUCUGCACUUGUGAAGUUAUUUGAUCCUGUGAAAUCUCCCAGAUGUUACGCUGUUAUUGCUCUGAAGAAGCAGCAGUGA